Molecule: ribosomal RNA, 1228 nt
Filed under: Sinonovacula constricta (Chinese razor clam)
Lineage: Eukaryota; Metazoa; Mollusca; Bivalvia; Cardiida; Solecurtidae
Description: 16S ribosomal RNA
Rfam family: Archaeal large subunit ribosomal RNA (bases 575-1228)
Source: RNAcentral
AUAAAAAGAUUAAUGAGGAAAUUUUUAUAGCGGAAUUAUCUUUGUUUUAGUACUUUAAUGGAAAGUUUUUUAGAUUUAUAAUUAAAACCUAAUGGGGUUUAGUUUUAUUCAGGAAAAGAAAUUUUUAGAAUAUGUACUUUUUGUAUCAUGGUUUAUAGAGGUGUUAAAUUUAUAUUUAUUCCUGAAAACUUUAGAGCUAUUUAUUUUAUAAUUUUUAUGUUGCAUAAUAGGGGAUAAAAAAUAAAUAGAGGUGAAAUGCUAGUCGAAAAAGUUGAUAGCUGGUUAAAAGAGAAAUAUGUAUUCGCAUAGCGUAGAAGUUUUUGUUUAACUGAAUUUGUUAGGCGCAAUUUUUAUAGUUAGUUUUUCGGGGCUAAGCUCGUGAAAAUAUAAAGUUAGGAUGGAAGAAAGUAGGCUUGAAAUUAGCCAUCUUUUAAAGUUUUUUAUAAAAUAUUCUUUCUUUGUUUUUAUAUUCCAAUAUCUUUUUAUACCAAAAAAUUAUUUUGGUUAAAUUAGUAUAAAAUUAGUAGCAAAAAUGGUAGAAAUAUUAUUUAAAAAUUUAUAUAUGUUUUUUGUUAUUUUACUUAAAAUUAUCAUCAAGGAACUCGGCAAAUAUACUUCCCGCCUGUUUAUCAAAAACAUCGCCUCUUGGUUUUAAGCACAAGAGGUUGGGCCUGCCCGGUGAAUAACUAUUUAAACGGCCGCAGUGAAUAACUGUGCUAAGGUAGCGUAAUAAAUUGUCUCUUAAUUGGAGAAGGGUAUGAAUGGUUUAACGUGGUAGUAUCUGUCUCGGUGAUAAUAAGGUGAAGUUUUCUUUUGAGUUAAAAGACUUAAAUAUAAGUAAAAGACGAGAAGACCCUGUCGAGCUUGAUAAAAUUAUGGAAUGCUUUCAUAUAAUAAGUUUAGCUGGGGCAGCUGAAAACCAUGGAAUAGUUUUUUAUUACCUAAAGAUCCGGUUUUACCGAUUGUAAGAAAAAGCUACCGCAGGGAUAACAGCGUAAUCUUUUUUGAGAGAACUAAUUGAAGAAAAGGUUUGCGACCUCGAUGUUGGAUUAAAGUUUCUUUUUGGUGCAGCAGCUAAAAUAGUAGGACUGUUCGUCCUUUAAAACUUUACGUGAUCUGAGUUCAGACCGGCGUGAGCUAGGUCGGUUUCUAUCUUUAGUGAGAUUGCCAUUGUACGAAAGGAUCCGGUUUUCUAAAAAAAUUUUAUUUUUUAUAAAUUAACUUUUGA